GAUGAAGAACGUAGCGAAAUGCGAUAAGUAAUGCGAAUUGCAGAAUUCAGUGAGUCGUCGAAUCUUUGAACGCACAUUGCGCCCUGUGGUAUUCCGCAGGGCAUGCCUGUUCGAGCGUCAUUUCAACCCUCAAGCUCUGCUUGGUGUUGGGCCCUGCCCGCUGCGGCCGGCCCUAAAGACAGUGGCGGUGCCGCCUGGCCCUGAGCGUAGUACAUCUCUCGCUCCAGUGCCCGGUGGUAGCCUGCCAGAACCCCAACUCUCGUGGUUGACCUCGGAUCAGGUAGGGAUACCCGCUGAACUUAAGCAUAUCAAUAAGCGGAGGA
RNAcentral lists this unclassified non-coding RNA (323 nucleotides) under soil metagenome. RNAcentral's name for it is "partial contains 5.8S ribosomal RNA, internal transcribed spacer 2, and large subunit ribosomal RNA". The stretch from base 1 to 120 matches the Rfam family "5.8S ribosomal RNA", at positions 35 to 154 of the family's 154-position model. The record is from RNAcentral.